UACAGAGGGUGCGAACGUUGUUCGGAAUUACUGGGCGUAAAGCGCGUGUAGGCGGCAGCGCAAGUCGGGCGUGAAAUCCCACGGCUCAACCGUGGAAGUGCACUCGAAACUGCGCAGCUAGAGUCCUGGAGAGGAAGGCGGAAUGCUUGGUGUAGAGGUGAAAUUCGUAGAUAUCAAGCGGAACACCGGUGGCGAAGGCGGCCUUCUGGACAGUGACUGACGCUGAGACGCGAAAGCGUGGGGAGCAAACAGG
Molecule: ribosomal RNA, 253 nt
Filed under: uncultured bacterium
Lineage: Bacteria
Description: partial 16S ribosomal RNA
Rfam family: Bacterial small subunit ribosomal RNA
Source: RNAcentral